This is a long non-coding RNA of Daphnia magna, 749 nucleotides long. RefSeq lists it as uncharacterized. Lineage: Eukaryota; Metazoa; Arthropoda; Branchiopoda; Diplostraca; Daphniidae. The record is from RefSeq and is a predicted model, not a curated record. The transcript is spliced from 4 exons.
CUUAAGCAUUAAGUAGGCAUUGGUCUAGCCAACCUUUGUUCGUCUGCUAUGCAGAAGCUCUCUCUACUUUUCGAGCUUUCUACAGAACAGUCAUCCCUGGAUCUGUCUCAGGUUCCAUAGUUAGACUUAUACUUAUAGCUCAUGAGGUUAUGGGCCCAGGUUUACGUUUAAUUCAUACCGAACAAUGACCGAACACGCUGCCCAGGACGUUCCUUAAGGGUAGUACAACACGUAGCCAAGUUUGAUGGGACGAAAUAUCGUGAGUGGAACUACAAACUUAUUCUGCCUUUUCAGCAACUGGAAAUAGAUCCAGUGGUUUUAGGAACGGAAGAAUGCCCAACUGAGAACACAAUCAGUCAUCACGCUGCCUUAGUUUAUUUUUGCUGAUACAAUCGACAUAUUUGAUGUGCACUGCUGAGAACACAGUUUUUUAUAAGCAAUUAAACCAACUUGUUCUUUGGUGUAGCAAAGCUAUUGCACAUCUGCUCCUUUUUCUUUUGGAUGCAACUUUUUUAAUGACAUUGAACUUAGUGAUGCAAGGAUGGAAAUGAAGAAGGAUUCCUCUAAAAUGAACAAGAUAUUUGACAAUGGAAUAAAGAGGACAUCCUGGCUAUCAAUUGCACAUUCAAUGUUAUGGCUUGGUCGCCAUAACAUUCCUCAGAGGCACUUCAUCUCAAUGACACGCGCAAACCGAGAAGAAUCAUGGUACUUGGCCACUUUGGUCCGCAGCUCUUGUUACAAUCUUUUCC